AGUGAGGGUAGAGGUGCAAUUACCAUUAGUAUGUUAGUCGAGGAAAAUGAGAACCAUUGAAGCUAACAAAAAGGGGUACUUGCCGAAGCUUAUAAGUGACUCAUUUCCUUAUAGAGCUGGGACUGUUCUGAAUAAGACCAGUACUGUCAUAUAGCUGGAAGCUAUAUGGAGGGCUAUCUCACAC
This 184-nucleotide non-coding RNA is filed under the name Halalkalibacter krulwichiae. Its description in RNAcentral is "Bacillus krulwichiae Lysine sequence". It matches the Rfam family "Lysine riboswitch aptamer". From Rfam's summary of the family: Riboswitches are metabolite binding domains within certain messenger RNAs that serve as precision sensors for their corresponding targets. The record is from Rfam by way of RNAcentral. Lineage: Bacteria; Bacillati; Bacillota; Bacilli; Caryophanales; Bacillaceae.